Molecule: long non-coding RNA, 470 nt
Filed under: Mytilus galloprovincialis (Mediterranean mussel)
Lineage: Eukaryota; Metazoa; Mollusca; Bivalvia; Mytilida; Mytilidae
Source: RNAcentral
UUUUUCUUGCUUUUGAACAAUUUUCGUCACAACAACAGCUUUCUUUUCAAAACUAUCUUUAAAGGGAGAGAUGUCAAAAGUUUGCUUCAAACACGUGCGUCGCAAAGAUGUAAAUAAAUUCUGUAUGUGACAUUUAUAGCGGAAGCCAUUUGACCAUAUCCUUUUGUGAAACAGUUCAAUCAACACCUUUAUUAAUUAGUCCUUUGUUGUCGAUAGCUAUAAAAUGCAAUCAGCUGAUUAUUGAUUUUCUGUCUAAAUCUUAAUGAGGUCAAGGUGAAUUCCGAGUAUUGUCUGAUCGGGUAAAGUCCGAGAAACUCGAAAAAAGUAAAUAAACAAGAUGGAGGAAAAUAAAUCGGUUUAUAGAUUUCUUUCGCCAAAUUCUUUCGCAAAUGACGAAUUUUUAUCGCCACAAUUAUUAUUUUUUCACAAAUUGCGAAAAUGGCGACCGCCAGCGGAAACCCUGGUCAGAA